GACUCGUUAGCUCAGCCGGUAGAGCAUCUCACUUUUAAUGAGGGGGUCGAUGGUUCGAAUCCAUCACGGGUCACCA
This 76-nucleotide transfer RNA is filed under the name Aliarcobacter cryaerophilus. RNAcentral's name for it is "Arcobacter cryaerophilus tRNA-Lys". It matches the Rfam family "tRNA". Rfam says of the family: Transfer RNA (tRNA) molecules are approximately 80 nucleotides in length. RNAcentral also lists the same sequence under 1 other name. Lineage: Bacteria; Pseudomonadati; Campylobacterota; Epsilonproteobacteria; Campylobacterales; Arcobacteraceae. The record is from RNAcentral.